This 488-nucleotide ribosomal RNA is filed under the name uncultured bacterium. RNAcentral describes it as "partial 16S ribosomal RNA". It matches the Rfam family "Bacterial small subunit ribosomal RNA", at positions 28 to 507 of the family's 1533-position model. The record is from RNAcentral.
GACGAACGCUGGCGGCGUGCUUAACACAUGCAAGUCGAACGAAAAUACCAAGCUUGCUUGGUUGAUUAGUGGCGAACGGGUGAGUAACACGUGAGUAACCUGCCCCUUACUUUCCUGGAUAACUGCUCGAAAGGGUAGCUAAUACGGGAUAUUCUGACCAGCCUGCAUGGGUUGGUUUGGAAAGGUUGUUUUUCUGGUAAGGGAUGGGCUCGCGGCCUAUCAGCUUGUUGGUGGGGUGAUGGCCUACCAAGGCUUUGACGGUUAGCCGGCCUGAGAGGGUGGACGGUCAGACUGGGAAUGAGAUACGGCCCAGAAUCGUACGGGAGGCAGCAGUAGGGAAUACUGCACAAUGGGCGCAAGCCUGAUGCAGCGACGCCGCGUGAGGGAUGAAGGCCUUCGGGUUGUAAACCUCUUUCGUCAGGGAAGAAGGCACUGCUUUUUUGGUGGUGUUGAGGGUACCUGGAUAAGAAGCGCCGGCUAACUACGUG